AGAGUUUGAUCAUGGCUCAGGACGAACGCUGGCGGCGCGCUUAACACAUGCAAGUCGAGCGAGAACCAGUCCUUCGGGACUGGGGAAAGCGGCGAACGGGUGAGUAACACGUGGGUAAUCUGCCCUCGGCACCGGAAUAGCCCGGGGAAACCCGGAUUAAUGCCGGACGGCCUCUCCGCCCCUCGGGGCGGCGAGAAAAGGUAGCUUCGGCCUCCGGCCGAGGAUGAGCCCGCGGCGGAUUAGCUUGUUGGUGGGGUAAAGGCCCACCAAGGCGACGAUCCGUAGCUGGUCUGAGAGGACGAUCAGCCACACUGGGACUGAGACACGGCCCAGACUCCUACGGGAGGCAGCAGUGAGGAAUCUUGCGCAAUGGGCGAAAGCCUGACGCAGCGACGCCGCGUGAGGGAAGAAGGCUUUCGGGUUGUAAACCUCUUUCAGAAGGGACGAAGCUACUCGGGUUAAUAGCCCAGAGGGUGACGGUACCUUCAGAAGAAGCCCCGGCUAACUACGUGCCAGCAGCGGCGGUAAUAC
RNAcentral lists this ribosomal RNA (531 nucleotides) under uncultured bacterium. RNAcentral's name for it is "bacterial SSU rRNA". It matches the Rfam family "Bacterial small subunit ribosomal RNA", at positions 8 to 526 of the family's 1533-position model. The record is from RNAcentral.